AGAAUACACACACCAUAAACCCACCACCAGCAACUCUUCAUACAAUGAUUAACUGCUCUUGUUUGACAUCUACUUUUCAGAUGCAUCUACAAGGACUCAUACAGUCAAACUCCAGUGGGGAUCCUCUGCUUCAAAUCAGAAAGUCCUCAGCUUAACCAUUCAAAGUGAGCAUCGUCUUGGACAGGAGUUUGGUGAUGGAUGAACUGGCCAACCUGCCUCAGGCCUUCUGUGUUCUUUUCGGACUGAUUUAUGCCCUGUACUUGGACUAUCCUAAGUGCAUGAAAAACAGUUUCCACUUUAUUCAGCAGGUAAUGAUCAACCUGGGAGGUAAGCUGACACCCAAAAUUCAAUCUUUGAAAAAAUAGCUAACAGUAAAACGGACCUCCCAAUUGUUC
Ictalurus punctatus (channel catfish) is the source of this 395-nucleotide long non-coding RNA. The record is from Ensembl. Lineage: Eukaryota; Metazoa; Chordata; Actinopteri; Siluriformes; Ictaluridae.